Molecule: ribosomal RNA, 449 nt
Filed under: uncultured bacterium
Lineage: Bacteria
Description: partial 16S ribosomal RNA
Rfam family: Bacterial small subunit ribosomal RNA
Source: RNAcentral
CGCCAGACUCCUACGGGAGGCAGCAGUGGGGAAUAUUGCACAAUGGGGGGAACCCUGAUGCAGCGACGCCGCGUGGGCGAGGAAGUAUUUCGGUAUGUAAAGCCCUAUCGGCAGGGAAGAAGAAAUGACGGUACCUGAAUAAGAAGCACCGGCUAAAUACGUGCCAGCAGCCGCGGUAAUACGUAUGGUGCAAGCGUUAUCCGGAUUUACUGGGCGUAAAGGGAGCGUAGACGGCAUGGCAAGUCAGAUGUGAAAGCCCGGGGCUCAACCCCGGGACUGCAUUUGAAACUGUCAGGCUGGAGUGCAGGAGAGGUAAGUGGAAUUCCUAGUGUAGCGGUGAAAUGCGUAGAUAUUAGGAGGAACACCAGUGGCGAAGGCGGCUUACUGGACUGUAACUGACGUUGAGGCUCGAAAGCGUGGGGAGCAAACAGGAUUAGAUACCCGCGUAC